GAGCUAAGCCACAGUGAGCAAGGCAACUGAGUGAGCUCAGGUAGCCGUCACGCACUGUACACUUGAUGGCUAGCUUCGUCGAACAACUCAAGGACAAGUUCCUCGGCCUCGUCUACCGCGUAACCAGCUAGGAUGGUUGUGGCAUCGGUGUCGGCAGAGACAAGGACGAUGUUCCAGAGACCUAAGUUGUCAAGUGUCCAGCAGCCCGUUGAGAUCAGGUCGAGAGACCCCGUUGUGGACGAAGGAUCAGCGGCAGGGGCCAAUUGUUUCAUACUGCCAAACAAGCUCGAGAUUGCUACACUUGCUGGUGUUUAGUAUUCCAAGGUUAAUGCUGGUGCAGUGUGUAGUGUUAUUGAUUGAUUUUUCCUUUAUAAUUAAACCUGGUGAAUUUUUUUACUUUUCCCUUUUUUGUUUCUUUUAGUGUUAUCAUUGUAAUUCCUAGUGUACGAGUGUACGUGUUGUAUCUUGCUAUCUCCGAGUAAAUAAAAAGUAAUGAUACAUGCCCAGGCCACCUAGAAGAAUUUCCCAAAAAA
Long non-coding RNA from Sorghum bicolor (sorghum), 533 nucleotides. RefSeq lists it as uncharacterized. The record is from RefSeq and is a predicted model, not a curated record. The transcript is spliced from 2 exons. NCBI's taxonomy places the organism in Eukaryota, Viridiplantae, Streptophyta, Magnoliopsida, Poales, Poaceae.